This 119-nucleotide ribosomal RNA is filed under the name Helianthus annuus (common sunflower). Lineage: Eukaryota; Viridiplantae; Streptophyta; Magnoliopsida; Asterales; Asteraceae. The record is from RNAcentral.
GGUUGCGAUCAUACCAGCACUAAUGCACCGGAUCCCAUCAGAACUCCGCAGUUAAGCGGGCUUGGGCGAGAGUAGUACUAGGAUGGGUGACCCCCUGGGAAGUCCUCGUGUUGCAACCC